UACCAGCACCCCGAGUGGUCGGGACGAUUAUUGGGCCUAAAGCAUCCGUAGCCGGUCCUGCAAGUCUUCCGUUAAAUCCAGCUGCUUAACAGAUGGGCCGCAGGAGAUACUACAGGGCUAGGAGGCGGGAGAGGCAAGCGGUACUUUAUGGGUAGGGGUAAAAUCCGCUGAUCCAUAGAAGACCACCAGUGGCGAAGGCGGCUUGCCAGAACGCGCUCGACGGUGAGGGAUGAAAGCUGGGGGAGCAAACCGG
This 253-nucleotide ribosomal RNA is filed under the name uncultured bacterium. RNAcentral's name for it is "partial 16S ribosomal RNA". It matches the Rfam family "Archaeal small subunit ribosomal RNA", at positions 474 to 727 of the family's 1478-position model. The record is from RNAcentral.